RNAcentral lists this microRNA precursor (76 nucleotides) under Mesocricetus auratus (golden hamster). RNAcentral's name for it is "miRNA (ENSMAUG00000004741.1)". The record is from RNAcentral. Lineage: Eukaryota; Metazoa; Chordata; Mammalia; Rodentia; Cricetidae.
UAUAUAUGUGUGUGUGUGUGUGUAUGUGUAUAUAUAUAUAUAUAUGGCUAUUUAUUCAACAUGUAUUCUUCAUGUA